UCCAGACUCCUACGGGAGGCAGCAGUGGGGAAUAUUGCACAAUGGGGGGAACCCUGAUGCAGCGACGCCGCGUGGGUGAAGGAGCGUUUCGGCGCGUAAAGCCCUCUCGGCAGGGAAGAAGGAGGACGGUACCUGACUAAGAAGCCCCGGCUAACUACGUGCCAGCAGCCGCGGUAAUACGUAGGGGGCAAGCGUUAUCCGGAUUUACUGGGUGUAAAGGGGGCGCAGACGGCAGCGCAAGCCAGGAGUGAAAGCCCGGGGCCCAACCCCGGGACUGCUCUUGGAACUGCGCGGCUGGAGUGCAGGAGGGGCAGGCGGAAUUCCUGGUGUAGCGGUGAAAUGCGUAGAUAUCAGGAGGAACACCGGUGGCGAAGGCGGCCUGCUGGACGGCAACUGACGUUGAGGCCCGAAAGCGUGGGGAGCAAACAGGAUUAGAUACCCCAGUAGAA
RNAcentral lists this ribosomal RNA (449 nucleotides) under uncultured bacterium. RNAcentral describes it as "partial 16S ribosomal RNA". It matches the Rfam family "Bacterial small subunit ribosomal RNA", at positions 330 to 795 of the family's 1533-position model. The record is from RNAcentral.